AGGACUUCUGGUUUGAAUUAAUUCAAGACAUAACAUGUGAGCAAUGGCUGUGAGGUCCAGUAGCCAGUGGUUCUUUGCGUAAUUGUUCAAAAGGACAUUUUGAGGUGCUUGUCCAGAUGUGAUUAUUUCUCUUCAGUAACAGGUCAAUCAUAUAUUUCUUUCAUCUAACUUUGUGCUUUGUUAUCUACAAACUAAUAGGUCGUUCUGUC
This 209-nucleotide ribosomal RNA is filed under the name Triticum aestivum (bread wheat). Its description in RNAcentral is "partial small subunit ribosomal RNA". Lineage: Eukaryota; Viridiplantae; Streptophyta; Magnoliopsida; Poales; Poaceae. The record is from RNAcentral.